RNAcentral lists this ribosomal RNA (1371 nucleotides) under uncultured bacterium. Its description in RNAcentral is "bacterial SSU rRNA". It matches the Rfam family "Bacterial small subunit ribosomal RNA", at positions 28 to 1381 of the family's 1533-position model. The record is from RNAcentral.
GAUGAACGCUGGCGGCGUGCCUAAUACAUGCAAGUCGAGCGAACGGACGAGAAGCUUGCUUCUCUGAUGUUAGCGGCGGACGGGUGAGUAACACGUGGAUAACCUACCUAUAAGACUGGGAUAACUUCGGGAAACCGGAGCUAAUACCGGAUAAUAUUUUGAACCGCAUGGUUCAAAAGUGAAAGACGGUCUUGCUGUCACUUAUAGAUGGAUCCGCGCUGCAUUAGCUAGUUGGUAAGGUAACGGCUUACCAAGGCAACGAUGCAUAGCCGACCUGAGAGGGUGAUCGGCCACACUGGGACUGAGACACGGUCCAGACUCCUACGGGAGGCAGCAGUAGGGAAUCUUCCGCAAUGGGCGAAAGCCUGACGGAGCAACGCCGCGUGAGUGAUGAAGGUCUUCGGAUCGUAAAACUCUGUUAUUAGGGAAGAACAUAUGUGUAAGUAACUGUGCACAUCUUGACGGUACCUAAUCAGAAAGCCACGGCUAACUACGUGCCAGCAGCCGCGGUAAUACGUAGGUGGCAAGCGUUAUCCGGAAAUAUUGGGCGUAAAGCGCGCGUAGCGGUUUUUUAAGUCUGAUGUGAAAGCCCACGGCUCAACCGUGGAGGGUCAUUGGAAACUGGAAAACUUGAGUGCAGAAGAGGAAAGUGGAAUUCCAUGUGUAGCGGUGAAAUGCGCAGAGAUAUGGAGGAACACCAGUGGCGAAGGCGACUUUCUGGUCUGUAACUGACGCUGAUGUGCGAAAGCGUGGGGAUCAAACAGGAUUAGAUACCCUGGUAGUCCACGCCGUAAACGAUGAGUGCUAAGUGUUAGGGGGUUUCCGCCCCUUAGUGCUGCAGCUAACGCAUUAAGCACUCCGCCUGGGGAGUACGACCGCAAGGUUGAAACUCAAAGGAAUUGACGGGGACCCGCACAAGCGGUGGAGCAUGUGGUUUAAUUCGAAGCAACGCAAAGAACCUUACCAAAUCUUGACAUCCUUUGACAACUCUAGAGAUAGAGCCUUCCCCUUCGGGGGACAAAGUGACAGGUGGUGCAUGGUUGUCGUCAGCUCGUGUCGUGAGAUGUUGGGUUAAGUCCCGCAACGAGCGCAACCCUUAAGCUUAGUUGCCAUCAUUAAGUUGGGCACUCUAAGUUGACUGCCGGUGACAAACCGGAGGAAGGUGGGGAUGACGUCAAAUCAUCAUGCCCCUUAUGAUUUGGGCUACACACGUGCUACAAUGGACAAUACAAAGGGCAGCGAAACCGCGAGGUCAAGCAAAUCCCAUAAAGUUGUUCUCAGUUCGGAUUGUAGUCUGCAACUCGACUACAUGAAGCUGGAAUCGCUAGUAAUCGUAGAUCAGCAUGCUACGGUGAAUACGUUCCCGGGUCU